Molecule: non-coding RNA, 106 nt
Organism: Gossypium raimondii (Peruvian cotton)
Lineage: Eukaryota; Viridiplantae; Streptophyta; Magnoliopsida; Malvales; Malvaceae
Source: Rfam
AAUUCAUGGUGUGGCCACUUCUGAAAUAAUGUUUUAAAACAUCCCCAUGCUUCGUGAAAGUAUUCCCCUUCUAACUACUUAAACAUUGAAAUUUCCCUUCUUAGCU